RNAcentral lists this ribosomal RNA (468 nucleotides) under uncultured bacterium. Its description in RNAcentral is "partial 16S ribosomal RNA". It matches the Rfam family "Bacterial small subunit ribosomal RNA", at positions 28 to 507 of the family's 1533-position model. The record is from RNAcentral.
GACGAACGCUGGCGGCGUGCUUAACACAUGCAAGUCGAACGGAAAGGCCCUGCUUUUGUGGGGUGCUCGAGUGGCGAACGGGUGAGUAACACGUGAGUAACCUGCCCUUGACUUUGGGAUAACUUCAGGAAACUGGGGCUAAUACCGGAUAGGAGCUCCUGCUGCAUGGUGGGGGUUGGAAAGUUUCGGCGGUUGGGGAUGGACUGGCGGCUUAUCAGCUUGUUGGUUGGGUAGUGGCUUACCCACGCUUUGACGGGUCGGCGGCCUGAGAGGGUGACCGGCCACAUUGGGACUGAGAUACGGCGCAGACUCCUAUGGGAGGCAGCAGUGGGGAAUAUUGCACAAUGGGCGGAAGCCUGAUGCAGCAACGCCGCGUGCGGGAUGACGGCCUUCGGGUUGUAAACCGCUUUCGCCUGUGACGAAGCGGGAGUGACGGUAAUGGGUAAAGAAGCACCGGCUAACUACGUG